This 336-nucleotide ribosomal RNA is filed under the name Xenostrobus pulex. Its description in RNAcentral is "eukaryotic LSU rRNA". It matches the Rfam family "Eukaryotic large subunit ribosomal RNA", at positions 42 to 370 of the family's 3401-position model. The record is from RNAcentral. Lineage: Eukaryota; Metazoa; Mollusca; Bivalvia; Mytilida; Modiolidae. RNAcentral also lists the same sequence under 1 other name.
AUCACUAAGCGGAGGAAAAGAAACUAACUAGGAUUCCCCUAGUAAUGGCGAAUGAAGCGGGAAGAGCCCAGCACCGAAUCCCGCAGCCUUGCGCUGCAGGGAACUGUGGUGUUUAGGACGCCUAUUGCUGCAGCGUUCGGGUGCCCAGGUCCUCCUGAUCGGGGCCUCUCCCAGAGUGUGUGUCAGGCCUUUACUGGCACCCGACGCAGUGGCUCUGAACGUCCUUGGAGUCGGGUUGUUUGAGAAUGCAGCCCAAAGCGGGUGGUAAACUCCAUCUAAGGCUAAAUACCGACACGAGUCCGAUAGCGGACAAGUACCGUGAGGGAAAGUUGAAAA